Lepus europaeus (European hare) is the source of this 2341-nucleotide long non-coding RNA. RefSeq lists it as uncharacterized. The record is from RefSeq and is a predicted model, not a curated record. Lineage: Eukaryota; Metazoa; Chordata; Mammalia; Lagomorpha; Leporidae. The transcript has 3 exons.
GGCUGCGGAGCGGACCAGGGGUUGUCGCCGCGGUCCGAGCCCCUCGCCGCCCAGCGCGGCCGCUCGCAGGACUUGGGCUCUGUCUCCCCAUUCUCCCCUGGCCUGUGGCGUUGAAUCAGCUGUCAGUCUAAGUAGAGAUCCUCUUAAGUUAUAAAGAGUUGCCCAGCCAAGAAGAGCCCAGGACCAGAUGGCUGCACGUCUGAAUCAUACAAACUGUAGAGGAAGAUCUAACACCAACACUGCUCAGACUGUCCCAGACCAUUGAGAGAGAGAACCUUCCAAACUCACUCUAGGAAGCCAGUGUUAUCUUAAUUCCAAAACCAGACAAGGAUCUAACAAAAAGAACUGUACAUCUGUAAUCCCUGAUGACCAUAAAUUCCAAAAUCAACAAAGUGCUUUGAAACUUUGUGUUCUCCCAUUUUUUAUUUUUUGCUGCUUUUAUUUUUUAAUAAGUCCUUUUUUUCUUCGCAUUUUUUGUUAUUUUUUCCAAUUUAAAAAUUUUUUUAGAUAGCAUUAGUUGUUUUUUUUUUUUUUUUUUUAGAGUUUAUUUAUUUGAAAGGCAGAGUUAUAGAGAUAGAGGCAGAGAGAGAGGGAGAGAGGUCUUCCAUCCACUGUUUCACUCCCCAAAUGACCGCAAUGGCCAGAGCCCAUCUGAAGCCAGGAGUCUGGAGCUUCUUGCAGGUCUUCUAUGUGGCUGUAGGGGCCCAAGGACUUGGGCCAUCCUCCACUGCUCUCCCAGGCCAUAGCAGAGUGCUGGAUCAGAAGUGGAGCAGCCAGGACUAGAACUGGCGCCCAUAUGGGAUGCUGGCACUGUAGGCAGCGACUUCACUUGCUACGCCACAGUGCCAGCCCUGGUAGCAUUAGUGUUACUAAAUAGAAUUGUUGGUGUAGUUAGUAUAGUUAGUAUCUUAUAUUAGUAAUGUAAGCAUGCUACACUUGGUGGUCACUAGACUAAUGGCAUAGUGUAGUGCUGUGGUUCUCACUGAUAAUGACAGGGUUUUGGAAAAUACUGGCCAUGCAGAGCUAGCCCGCCAUCUGUUAACUGGGACCCAGGUGGACAUGAUGGUCAUUCAGAAGAUGGCCAGGACUGCGGCCUCCAGAGGAUGUCCUAGAAGCAGUUGUAAUGAAGGGUGUGAGUCCGCCAAACAUCCUGCGGCUCUGCUCUGAAGAACACGGCAGACAGCACACGUUGUCAUGGCGCACGCUAGCACAGAGAGCUGCUGAGCUGCGUGACAGAGCACGGCCUCCCGCGGGCCGCGGCUGCCUGUGCCAUGUCGGAGCAGCCGUCACAGGCGGAGCGCUGUUGCCGCCUCGAAGGGCGCGGUGUGUGGGACUCGGAAGAGGGCAUUGUCCUGGAUGCUGCUCUCAACAUGAAACCCGCUGACUCCGCCAGGUCUUCAAGGUCACCGAGGGGCAAAGGCCAGGCACACUGUGUGGCAGUGCCCCAUAUUGUGUUCGAGAAAUGUUCCAGGCCCGAGAUAGAAUAGCCCCAAAGUGCACCGCUGGAGCCUGGGCGGGUUCCGUACGCCACAGUGACAGUGUCCCUGCCGUUUGAUGGAGAGACACUGGUACAGCUGCCGGAGUGCAUGUUCUCAGGAAAAUACCAGGUUCACCUUUACAUUUGAAACUGAAGUUUGUAGAGAAGAAUAUGGACGUCAACCCCAGGGAGAGGCCCACGUUAGACUGUCUCGUGGGUCACUGUGGGCCAGAAGAAUCCCCGAGACUCCAUGUUGAGCCAUGAAAUUCAUGGUUAGCCUUGUGAAGACACCUGUCCAUAGGACGGUGCCAUGGCCACAUACCCAUGCUGAGCGGCCAGACUUCCCAGCAAAGACUGCACCGUGAUGGCAGAGCCUGGGCCUGAGGCCAGGCACGUCUUCACCAUGUUCUCCUUCCACUGCCUGCUGCCCGAGGGCCCGGAGCCAGGAUAAAUGCUUGCAGUGGAGCUCCUGUGCCUGACGGUGCCCUUUCUGGCCUGCAGGUGAGGAGCCCCAGCCCCAGCCCCAGCGCUGAGCAAGGCCCUGUGGCCACCUCCUGCACUGUCAGCCCCAGGAGCAGUGAGGAGCACUCGGAAGAAAACUUCUCCUAGGGAGCAGCAUUACAAGAAAUUGUGCCAGCAAGCCUGGACCUGACAUUGCCCGCAAGCAGAGCCAGGACUGGCAAGGGGCUGGCGGGAAGAUAGUGAACUCCCUUCUUCCCGUGGGGACGUUGCGUCCUGCUGCCCCCAUAGCCAAACUCCGGGGGAUUGCUCGAGGGGAGGGGCCCUCAAGCUGAGCUUGAUGGGUUUUGUUUCAUUUCAGCCUUUUGCUCAUGAUUCUCAUGAAUAAAAUCUUGAUUACAUGCA